CUUGCCUGCCGCUAUGCAAGGCGUGACUUUGCUCCUCCUUUGCCUUCUGACAUGAUUGUGAGGCCUCCCCAGCCAUGUGGAACUUCUUGCUCCCCAACACCAGAGGUGAGACCACCUGGAGUGACCGUCUCUUGACUAAAUAAAAAACCUCUUUCCAAGAAGAUCUAUCCUCCAAGAACCACCUGGAUUCCCCAAGAGAUUCUGGGGUCCCCAAACCUGACCUUGGAGCCUCUUUGAUUUGCAAGAUUGCUUAUUUCCAUUUUAAAGGAAGCAUUUCUAAUUAAGAGAUUGGGUCUUGCUUUAUUGCUCAGGCUGGUCUCAAACUCCUGGCCUCAAGUGAUUCUCCUGCCUCAGCUUCCCAAAGCUCCCGGGAUUACAGGCAUGAGCCACUGUGCCCUCAAUUUAUAACUUCAAUUAAUUCUUUUAUUUGCUCCUCCCUCCCCCGGACCCACUGGACCAUAAGCCCCAGGGACAGAAGCCUUGCAUUCCUCCUUCCAGCACCUGGCCGCACCUAAGAGUUAAAGAAUAUAUGAACGGCCCCUUGGUACUGGCGGGUGAGGGCUCUGGUGACCUCACAAUCUGAAUAAAAACCAGAGACUGUUGUCUGACCAGAACAAAUGCUCUUUGGGGAACAAAGGGACAGAAUACCUGAAAUUAAGGGCCAUCGCAGAAAAUCCAGAACAGCUGGUGGCCACAGGAAAGGCCAAACCUCCUGAGUCUCAGGUCUGUGUGGAGCCAUGAAAGUCACUCGUUUUGACUCUGAGCUGACAUCUGACCUCUAGAGUCAAUUAUUCCUCCUCUCCAUGAACAUAUUCCCGACAAAAUGGGGUCAGGAGACAUUUGCAUCCAAACUACCAAGCUCUUUAAAUGUUGGGGCCUGGAGGCCUGAUGGGUUUAUUAGAUUAUCAUUGCGGAAGUUAAUAAAGAAUUAAUUUCUCUUCAUAUGACAUCCAAAGGCAGUUAUUUCAGGAGCCUGUCCAUUUACACAAAGCUGAGUAUUUGUCAAGUGUCAGAGGCAAUUCCCAGGUCCCAGCCCCCCCUCAAUAAUUCUGGAUUAGGGACAGCCUGAAAUGACAUUACACAAAUUUUCUUUCAAGAUGCAUGGAGCUCUGGGGACCACUCAGGAAUUUCAGGUUCCUGAAGGUUAUACUGUCAGCAAAAGGGCUGGGGGGUGGGG
This 1177-nucleotide long non-coding RNA is filed under the name Homo sapiens (human). RNAcentral describes it as "LHRI_LNC656.20". The record is from RNAcentral. Lineage: Eukaryota; Metazoa; Chordata; Mammalia; Primates; Hominidae.